RNAcentral lists this ribosomal RNA (448 nucleotides) under uncultured bacterium. RNAcentral's name for it is "SSU rRNA". It matches the Rfam family "Bacterial small subunit ribosomal RNA", at positions 26 to 518 of the family's 1533-position model. The record is from RNAcentral.
AGAACGAACGCUGGCGGCAGGCCUCAAACAUGCAAGUCUAGGGGAUGUAGCAAUACAUCACCGGCGGACGGGUGCGUAACACGUGGGAAUAUACCUUUCGGUACGGAACAACUGCGGGAAACUGCAGCUAAUACCGUAUACGUCCUUACGGAGAAAGAUUUAUCGCCGAAGGAUUAGCCCGCGUUCGAUUAGCUAGUUGGUGAGGUAAUGGCUCACCAAGGCGACGAUCGAUAGCUGUUCUGAGAGGAAGAUCAGCCACACUGGGACUGAGACACGGCCCAGACUCCUACGGGAGGCAGCAGUUGGGAAUCUUGGACAAUGGGGGAAACCCUGAUCCAGCCAUGCCGCGUGAGUGAUGAAGGCCUUCGGGUUGUAAAGCUCGUUUUACCCGGAAGAUAAUGACUGUACCGGAGAAUAAGCUACCGGCUAACUUCGUGCCAGCAGCCGC